AUACGUAGGGGGCGAGCGUUGUCCGGAAUGAUUGGGCGUAAAGGGCGCGUAGGCGGCCCGGUAAGUCUGGAGUGAAAGUCCUGUUUUUAAGAUGGGAAUUGCUUUGGGUACUGUCGGGCUUGAGUGCAGGAGAGGUAAGUGGAAUUCCCAGUGUAGCGGUGAAAUGCGUAGAGAUUGGGAGGAACACCAGUGGCGAAGGCGACUUACUGGACUGUAACUGACGCUGAGGCGCGAAAGUGUGGGGAGCAAACAGGAUUAGAUACCCUGGUAGUCCACGCGGUAAACGAUGAUCACUAGGUGUCGGCGGCCAUAGGCGGUCGGUGCCGCAGCAAACGCAAUAAGUGAUCCACCUGGGGAGUACGGUCGCAAGAAUGAAACUCAAAUGAAUUGGCGGGG
Molecule: ribosomal RNA, 396 nt
Filed under: uncultured bacterium
Lineage: Bacteria
Description: partial 16S ribosomal RNA
Rfam family: Bacterial small subunit ribosomal RNA
Source: RNAcentral